ACGCAAGUCUGAUCCAGCAAUGCCGCGUGCAGGACGAAGGCCUUCGGGUUGUAAACUGCUUUUGUACGGAACGAAACGGUCUGCUUUAAUACAGUGGGCUAAUGACGGUACCGUAAGAAUAAGCACCGGCUAACUACGUGCCAGCAGCCGCGGUAAUACGUAGGGUGCGAGCGUUAAUCGGAAUUACUGGGCGUAAAGCGUGCGCAGGCGGUUAUAUAAGUCAGAUGUGAAAUCCCCGGGCUCAACCUGGGACCUGCAUUUGAGACUGUAUAGCUAGAGUACGGUAGAGGGGGAUGGAAUUCCGCGUGUAGCAGUGAAAUGCGUAGAUAUGCGGAGGAACACCGAUGGCGAAGGCAAUCCCCUGGACCUGUACUGACGCUCAUGCACGAAAGCGUGGGGAGCAAACAGGAUUAGAUACCCUGGUAGUCCACGCCCUAAACGAUGUCAACUGGUUGUUGGGUCUUCACUGACUCAGUAACGAAGCUAACGCGUGAA
This 495-nucleotide ribosomal RNA is filed under the name uncultured Rhodoferax sp. RNAcentral describes it as "bacterial SSU rRNA". It matches the Rfam family "Bacterial small subunit ribosomal RNA", at positions 375 to 863 of the family's 1533-position model. Lineage: Bacteria; Pseudomonadati; Pseudomonadota; Betaproteobacteria; Burkholderiales; Comamonadaceae. The record is from RNAcentral.